RNAcentral lists this ribosomal RNA (253 nucleotides) under uncultured bacterium. RNAcentral's name for it is "partial 16S ribosomal RNA". It matches the Rfam family "Bacterial small subunit ribosomal RNA", at positions 524 to 776 of the family's 1533-position model. The record is from RNAcentral.
UACGUAGGGUGCAAGCGUUAAUCGGAAUUACUGGGCGUAAAGCGUGCGCAGGCGGUGAUGUAAGACAGAUGUGAAAUCCCCGGGCUCAACCUGGGAACUGCAUUUGUGACUGCAUCGCUGGAGUACGGCAGAGGGGGAUGGAAUUCCGCGUGUAGCAGUGAAAUGCGUAGAUAUGCGGAGGAACACCGAUGGCGAAGGCAACCCCCUGGGCCUGUACUGACGCUCAUGCACGAAAGCGUGGGGAGCAAACAGG